Molecule: ribosomal RNA, 206 nt
Filed under: uncultured bacterium
Lineage: Bacteria
Description: partial 16S ribosomal RNA
Rfam family: Bacterial small subunit ribosomal RNA
Source: RNAcentral
CAUGUAGGCGGCUUAAUAAGUCGAGCGUGAAAAUGCGGGGCUCAACCCCGUAUGGCGCUGGAAACUGUUAGGCUUGAGUGCAGGAGAGGAAAGGGGAAUUCCCAGUGUAGCGGUGAAACGCGUAGAUAUUGGGAGGAACACCAGUGGCGAAGGCGCCUUUCUGGACUGUGUCUGACGCUGAGAUGCGAAAAGCAGGGUAGCGGAAC